RNAcentral lists this non-coding RNA (79 nucleotides) under Rhodella violacea. The record is from RNAcentral. Lineage: Eukaryota; Rhodophyta; Rhodellophyceae; Rhodellales; Rhodellaceae.
CGGGGGUGGGUGCGAGGGGUCGAUGGGGUCAGGGGGGGGUUGGCUGGAGGUCAGCCAUGCAUUUUCGUGGGGAUGUUGC